CUGAGAUUAAGAGUUGAAUGCUAAAUGACUGAGCCAUCCAGGUACCCUGGAGCGUGAAUCUGAUGUGGACCUUCCUCCACCUUCUCUUCCUGGAGCAAACUCUUCACCCCAGGCCUGCUCUCCUCUACAAAACAUACAGACAACACCAGGUCCUGGGUCCCUGGAGGACACCACCGAUACUGUGAGGUGAUGGUGAGGUGAUGGUGGCUGAUGCACAGGGGUAAAUGCAAGACGAUCAACACCUUCAUUCAUGAGGAUGUGGCCACGUUGGCAUAUUUCUGCAGAAUUCCACCUCUGCCCUCUACCAACAGCUGCUGUGUGCACAACGGUCACAAAGUGCGCACCAUGCCCAAAGACCCCUGAGAUCAAGAGUUGCAUGCUUUAUCCUUGGAGCCAUCCAGGUGCCCCUACACAAUCCAUUUCUGAAGGCAGUUUUUCUACCCACAAGAGGGAGAAUCUGUAGGUGACUUUCUUCUCUACCCUGUGACUCCACCAAAAUCGUGUCAAGGCUUUAAAUCAAAGGAAGGCACCUGACUCUAGGGCAGCCAUCCACGGACUGACAGGCUGGGUACCCAUGAAAGAAACUGGUCUGGAGAUUUUACUGUCCUGGAAUAAGGCUGACAAAACUGGAUACUCUUAUUUUCAUUUCCCCCCAUAAUUCCAGGAGCUGUGAUUGUAUUGUCUUCGUUUGUGACCUUUAGCACGUAGCCUAUUGCUUGCUAUAAGAGAGCUUUCAAUAAAUCUUUAAUGGGCUAUUGUAAUAGGUCCUGCUGGUGCUAAGGAUUUUUUGCAGAUUCUGUUUUCAGAAUGGGAAAGUUCCCUUCCCUUCUGCUCUCUGUUUCCACCUGUAAAUGGAUUGUGAAUUUUGUUGAAUAAUUUUUCUUCAUCUGAUGACACAGUCAUAUACUAUUUCCAUCCUAAUCAGUUAAUGGAGUGGAAUUGAAUAAAAUUUCUGGACAUAAGCAACUCCA
Leopardus geoffroyi (Geoffroy's cat) is the source of this 971-nucleotide long non-coding RNA. RefSeq lists it as uncharacterized. Lineage: Eukaryota; Metazoa; Chordata; Mammalia; Carnivora; Felidae. The record is from RefSeq and is a predicted model, not a curated record. The transcript has 3 exons.